Molecule: ribosomal RNA, 403 nt
Filed under: bacterium
Lineage: Bacteria
Description: partial 16S ribosomal RNA
Rfam family: Bacterial small subunit ribosomal RNA
Source: RNAcentral
UGGGGAAUAUUGCACAAUGGGGGAAACCCUGAUGCAGCGACGCCGCGUGAACGAAGAAGGUAUUCGUAUCGUAAAGUUCUGUCCUAUGGGAAGAUAAUGACAGUACCAUAGAAGAAAGCUCCGGCUAAAUACGUGCCAGCAGCCGCGGUAAUACGUAUGGAGCGAGCGUUGUCCGGAAUUAUUGGGCGUAAAGGGUACGCAGGCGGUUUAAUAAGUCGAAUGUUAAAGAUCGGGGCUCAACCCCGCAAAGCAUUGGAAACUGAUAAACUUGAGUAGUGGAGAGGAAAGUGGAAUUCCUAGUGUAGUGGUGAAAUACGUAGAUAUUAGGAGGAAUACCAGUCGCGAAGGCGACUUUCUGGACACAAACUGACGCUGAGGUACGAAAGCGUGGGGAGCAAACAGG